RNAcentral lists this long non-coding RNA (3131 nucleotides) under Triticum aestivum (bread wheat). RNAcentral's name for it is "long non-coding RNA (TAES_LNC026006)". Lineage: Eukaryota; Viridiplantae; Streptophyta; Magnoliopsida; Poales; Poaceae. The record is from RNAcentral.
AGGGAGGGAUUGCUGGAGUGGAAACAUGGCAAGAACCGGAAAGAGCUCAAGAUUUUGCUACUACCUUGCUAAUAAAUUUGUGAGGUAAUUCAGCUAGCUACAUGUGUAUUUGUUUCUGCUAUACCAAGGUCAUUAUUCUGAUUUAGAAAAUAGAAACAUGAAUUCUGAUUUAAGAGUCUAAUAGCAAAUGUUGGUAGCAUUAAUAGAAUGUGCAUUGUACGCACAAGCUAAUAGUAGAGUUUAAUUCUUCUCAAGUAGCGGUUGUUGAUGUAGACUUGAACUAAUUAAUAAGGUAGGUAUCAAGUAGUGAUAUCGUCCACAAUCGAUGGACGACUAAUAUUCUUGAGCAGGCUCACAGAGCGAGAGACGAACCUGGGCUGACCGGGACCCUUCUAAAACUGUUGUAUAUCUAUGAUUCUGAUCUGUAUAAAAGAACUACAUAGGAUCAUUUUUGUUCUUAUUUUUAAGACAUGCAUGAUCAUCCUAGGCAUUUUGCUGACAAGUAAAAACCUGAAACUAAUUUCUAUUUAACAUAAACUCUAAUAUCUAUACUAUACAGGCAUUUUAGACAUGUAUAUUGGCUCACCAACAAUUUGUCUUCUGUUGAAAUGAAUGGUAACACUUGAUUUUAAAUUUCCUAAAUCUUUAUUAUUCUUCUGUUGCAAUAUAAUAUAACGAGGCAUGGUCAGCAGGAAACCUAAUUCUCCGUGAACAUGCGCAAAAGAGUCAACUUUUAGUUCUUUUAGAAUUUUUGUUCUUUCCUUAGAGUUCAUGAGAAUUAUUUGUAGACGGUGUUGUGAUGCUCCAGUACUUGUGUGAUGAUAUUCUUCUGACUCUUGCAAUGUCCUAUGCUGACAAAUACAAAUGCUCUGCUCUAUUUGAUGCUAUAAUUGUUCAUUUUGAAUCCAUUGCCUCUUUGUAAUGGUAAACCAGAGUCCCUUGACAGUUCGUUGGUCAUCUUCUUCUCAUGACAGAACUGGCAAGAUGUCAUGAUGGAACAAUAUCUUUUCUGCAUGUAGUAAAUUAUUUUCUUAUUAGUUUAGAUCCGUUAACUGCACUAUAUUUUUAGGAGGUGUCACACUAAGAAUUUCAUAGUUGGAUUUUGAUGUUCCAGGUUGCUUUAUGGAAGUAUUUAUAGGCUUGCCAUGACAAGGUAUUUUAUUAGUUUGUUAUCUCCCUUUCCAUAGACUUUUUACAUUCUACUCUGGUUAUUAAGUACGUAUACAUAUAAAGUGUGCUCUAUUGCUUAACUAAAUUCUGGACUUCAGGUAUACUACCUGACAAUGCACCCCGUGUUGAUAAAAAUAACAUUGGGAUGCACCACAUACAGAUUCACAAAGUUUAGGUCUGUUUCCUUGGAGAUUCACAAACAAGUGAUGUAGAAUUGGAAAAUAGUGAUGUAGAAUUGAUCCGAAUUUUAAACAGACCUGCACCUGGGUUUUUAACUGCCUUUUCUGUAUCUUAUUCUUUUACAGGAAUGCAUCAAUAAUCUUGGUAUAAAAUUUAUUUGGAUGGUUCAGAACCUUCAGAUGGCAUGGCUGAGAUAUAGUUUGUUGUAUUCAGUUUUUUUUUCAUCGUCACAGGUUUGCAAAUUUUGGUUCUACUGCCAGUGCAUACUUUAUGUUUCCAUUUCCAUCAAUUCAUCUUGUAGAAUCUCUGUGACCCUCGACGUUGGUUUGGAAGUUCGGUUCAGUCAUAGCCUAAUUUUUGGGUCUUCGCAAAAAAAGGCCUAAUUUUGGGAUUUAGUAAUUGUGGCCUGUUGUUAGUAUGCGAGUGUACAUACAAACGAUUGGCACUAUAUUUAUUUUGAUUUAUUUGUUGUGAUUAAGAGCAGAAGCUCUACUCAUCUAGGACGAGAUCUAUGACAAGGAAAGUUAAUGUAAAAAAUCAAAAUUGUGUGUGUUUGUGUGGUUAAUACACACUUCAUUUUGAUAUAUUUGUCUUCUAAUAACCCACCGUGCACAGGACAGACCAUGCAAGCAUCAACUUAUUGAGAAAUGACUUAUUAACCUAUUAAAAGACCAUACCGGAACCACCUAUGGCAUAACCUUUUCAAAACAUUUAAGUAGGGGUGGGCAAUAGAAGCGUUGUAGUAACUGCUCGGUUGUUGAACGGACAAACAUUUUGACGACUACUCUUGCUUUCAUGGAUAUACAGAGAUAAAUGGAUGGAUGUUGCAAAUAUAGUAGAAAUCAUGGGUGCAACAAUUUUUAUGUCCAUGUUUUUCUUUUUGUCUGAUUGUGUAUGUAUACUGGUUACAGGGCACUAUUUGCGUAGAAUUUACUUGACCUGUAGGAACUGGCUCUACUAUCUAGCUUUUAAAUGUAAUAAAUCUAGAAGGCAAUGGAGCAUUACUGUCUUUCCCUCUUUCUACAUAAGCAAGAAAGCUGUGACUUGGAUUCUGGACAUGAAUCUUCUUAACCUGUUGAAGCAGAAAACUAUAGAUGCAGAGUCCAAUUAGUUGUCCUUUGUGCAUACACAAGAAAGUGGAAUUUGGAGUCUGAACAUGAAUCCUUGAGACUGAUGGCCAGAAACAUAACACAACAUGAUGACCUUGAGUGAGACCCUUCUUCACAUGUGACUGCUCUCUUUUGGAAUACCAGCCAUGCGUGACAUGUUUAGUAGAACAGAUUGUGUCGUACGUCUGGUAGUUGUUGUUGCCUAUACAGAGUGUGAUGAUCUGAGGGUGUGAACUAUUUUUUGUGCAAAAUACUUGUUAUAUAAACUAUAUGGAUGGAGUUACGGGACAUUAAGAAAAGAUAUGAGAAAGAAUAUAGAGUGUGAAAUUUGCUAUAUAAAUUACUUGUUAUAUAAAAGUUGAAUCUCACGAUCCAACUUUUUAGAACUAUGCCACAACUUUUAUGAGGCCAUAAGUUUUUCCUUUGAAAUCUGCAGGUUAUAUGAUUUGUACAUGGCGGUGUUACUGAACAGAAGGAGGUAAUUUCUUCGCUCUUUCUAUUGAUUAAUAUUGUUCUUCACUCUUUCUAAACUAUUGAAUUUAUUAAUAUUAUUCUUGCACAAAUUAAUUAAUGAUUAUAUCAUCUUUUGGUCACUCGAGUAAGAUAGAACAUGAUGAUCCUCUCUUAAUUUGGUUUCUCCUCCGCUGAAGAAUAUAGGAAUCACCAGCAGCC